GCUGAAGGAGAAGGAUCCACUGAGUUCUGCAGUUUCAGUGGCAGCAGCAGAUCCAAGUCUCCUUUAUCAUCAUUUCCUCAAAAAGUCUCUGUGAAAGCCCUCAAAAAUUCUAAAUCUAGGACAUUGACAACAUCGCCGACUUUAAAUUCAGAUUCUGAAAUUGGGUCUUCUUUGGACGACAAUAUGAUUAAUUCUUCCUCUUCGGAAUCUGAAGCCGAAUUUCAGGGAAACAACACAAAAUUGACAUUGUUUGAACCUCGACAAAGCCAAACCCAAAAAAAAAAGCAGCCCAUUAUAUCAGAUUCCAGUAGUUCUCCAGAUCAUGUAAUGGGAGAUACAGGUAACCCUCCGGGUGCGGGAAAACAUACACCUCCAAAGGACUUCGUUUGUCCCAUAACAAGCCAUCUGUUUGAUGAUCCAGUAACUCUUGAGACAGGGCAGACAUAUGAACGAAAGGCAAUUCAAGAAUGGCUUGAUAGAGGAAAUUCAACAUGCCCAAUUACUCGCCAGAAGUUGCAUAGCACCCAACUGCCUAAGACAAACUAUGUGCUCAAAAGGCUUGUUGCAAGUUGGCAGGAACAGAAUCCUAAUUUCAUAUCAAACCAAUCUGAAACUCCACAUCAGAAGACUGAACCGAGCUUUAAGUCAACAAUAAUGCCUCCAAUUACUUCUCCUAAUAGUGUCAUUAGCCAAGCCACCAUUGAUAGUACCAUGAGUGAGCUACGACAUGCCAUUACCAAUCUUUGUAUGUCAGAAAUUUUGAAUGAGUCUGAAAUGGCUGUCCUUCGAAUAGAGCAAUUCUGGCAAGAGGCCAAUAUGGACCCUGAUGUUCAAAGCAUGCUUUCAAAACCUCCUGUUAUUAAUGGAUUUGUAGAGAUCCUUUUCAAUUCAAUCGAUCCACAGGUGCUGAAAGCAACUAUUUUUCUCCUGUCUGAAUUAGGGUCAAGAGACAAAGGUGUGAUCCAGACACUUACACGAGUUGAAUCUGAUGUGGAAUGCAUCGUGGCUCUUUUCAAGAAGGGCUUAUUAGAAGCUGUUGUGUUGAUAUAUCUUUUAAGACCGUCUACCAUGAGCUUACUGGAGAUGGACAUGGUGGAAUCUCUCUUAACAGUCAUUAAGAAGAAAGAGGAUGUGAUUAAAAUGCGUUUGAAGCCAAAAACAGCUUCUGUGCUUCUACUGGGACAAAUCCUCUGUGGCAGUGAAGAAAGCACUGUUUUUUCAAUUGUCAAUGCUAUUGUUUCAACCAAAGUGAUUGAAAGUAUUUCUGGCAGCUUGGAAGCUGAUUGGGCAGAGGAGCGGAUUGCAGCAGUGGGGAUCUUAUUAAGAUGCAUGCAGGAAGAUGGGAAAUGUAGAAACACGAUCGCUGAUAAAGCUGAGCUGGGUCCAGUUUUAGAGACCUUCAUGAGUGCAAGUGAUGGAGAAAGGUUUGAGAUAGUUCACUUCUUCUCUGAAUUGGUCAAAUUAAACAGGAGGACAUUCAAUGAGCAAGUUCUCCACAUUAUUAAGGAUGAAGGUGCUUUUAGCACAAUGCACAGCCUUCUUAAUUAUUUACAGACAGCUCUUCAAGAUCAAUGUCCUGUUGUUGCUGGUCUCUUACUCCAACUUGAUCUUCUGGUUGAGCCAAGAAAGAUGAGCAUAUACCGAGAAGAGGCAAUAGAUAAUCUUAUUUCAUGCCUGGGAAAGUAUGAAUUUCCUGUUGCUCAAAUAGCUGCAGCACAUACAAUUAUGUCUUUGCAAGGAAGGUUUACUGCCUCAGGAAAGUCUCUUGGUCGAGCUUUUCUUCUUAAACGUGCUGGACAUAGCAAAAGUUACAGAUAUCUUAUGCGCAUGGAUCAGCUUGGCAACUUGUCUGGAGAAAUUGAAGAAACAUUGGAAGAAGAGAGGGCGGCUGAAGAGUGGGAAAGAAAAAUGGCCUUCGCUCUAGUAAGCCAUGAGUUUGGUUUAGUCUUUGAGGCUUUAGCAGAAGGAUUGAAGAGCAGAAACGCAGAGUUAUGCUCAGCGUGCUUUGUGUCAGCAACAUGGCUAGUAUACAUGCUUGGUGUUCUUCCUGACACAGGGAUACGAGGAGCAGCCCGAGUUUGCCUGCUCAAGCGCUUUGUUACAAUUUUUAAGUCUGCAAAGGACACUGAAGACAGAGUCCUUUCAUUGCUUGCUCUAAAAAGCUUCAUAAAUGACCCUGAGGGGCUGCGGGACCUCACUUCCUACGUGAAGGAUAUUAAGAAAGGUCUCAGAGAGCUUAAGAAAUCCUCUCCCUUGGCACUUGAAGUUCUGAAAGUUCUCUCCGAGGGGCAUGAAUCCAGUGCUGAAUUCUGGAAUCAUGAAGAAUUAACUCAAGUAGAUUGCAGUGAUAAUGGAGAAGUGCUUUCUAUCACUUGUUUCAAAGACAAGAUAUUUUCUGGCCAUUCUGAUGGAACUAUAAAGGUUUGGACUGGCAGAGGCAGCAUUCUUCAACUCAUCCAAGAAAUUCGAGAACAUACCAAGGCAGUCACCAGCUUGGUAGUUUUACAUUCCGGAGAUAGCUUAUAUAGUGGUUCACUUGAUAGAACUGCAAGGGUUUGGUCCAUUGGCAAUGAAGCACUGCAUUGUGUAAAAGUACAUGAUAUGAAGGACCAGGUUCAUAAUCUAGUGGUGGCAAAUAGCAUUUCCUGCUUCAUUCCACAAGGAGCCGGAGUCAAGGUUCACUCAUGGAAUGGAGGAUUCAAAUUUUUGAAUUCGAAUAAAUAUGUCAAGUGUUUAUCUCUGGUACAAGGGAAACUAUACUGUGGAUGUCAUGAUAGUAGUAUUCAGGAAAUUGAUUUGGCAACAGUAACAUCUGUAACCAUUCAAAAUGGAUCAAGAAAAUUACUAGGAAAAGCAAAUCCCAUACAUGCUCUGCAUGUUCGUGAUGGACUGAUAUAUUCAGCAAGCUCAGCUUUAGAUGGAGCAGCUGUGAAGAUUUGGAGUGCUUCAACUUAUGGUCUAGUAGGCUCAGUUCCAACUACAUUGGAAGUAAGGGCUAUGGCAAUAAGCUCAGAGCUCAUUUAUUUAGGAUCCAAAGGAGGAACAGUGGAAAUUUGGGAUCAGAAAAAGCAAAACAGAAUCGAAACUCUGCAAACCGGCACAGAUGGUAGGGUUCUUUGUAUAGCCCUUGAUGGUAAUGAAGAAGUGUUGGUAAUUGGAACUUCAGACGGCCGGAUUCAGGCUUGGGGAUUGAGCUAGAAAUGGAGGAUGCUGUAAAUUUUUCUUGACAUAAUUUCUUUAGAGCACAUGAGUGCUUAAUUAUUUGAAUUGAAAUUCAUUUUGCACCCUUCAAAUAACCAACUUCAUUUCAGAUUUAUUCUUGAAAUGUAUAUAGCUG
Molecule: unclassified non-coding RNA, 3337 nt
Filed under: Hevea brasiliensis (rubber tree)
Lineage: Eukaryota; Viridiplantae; Streptophyta; Magnoliopsida; Malpighiales; Euphorbiaceae
Source: RNAcentral